Molecule: ribosomal RNA, 252 nt
Filed under: uncultured bacterium
Lineage: Bacteria
Description: partial 16S ribosomal RNA
Rfam family: Bacterial small subunit ribosomal RNA
Source: RNAcentral
UACGUAGGGCGCAAGCGUUAUCCGGAAUUAUUGGGCGUAAAGAGCUCGUAGGCGGUUUGUCGCGUCUGCCGUGAAAGUCCGGGGCUCAACUCCGGAUCUGCGGUGGGUACGGGCAGACUAGAGUGAUGUAGGGGAGACUGGAAUUCCUGGUGUAGCGGUGAAAUGCGCAGAUAUCAGGAGGAACACCGAUGCGAAGGCAGGUCUCUGGGCCACUACUGACGCUGAGAAGCGAAAGCAUGGGGAGCGAACAGG